RNAcentral lists this ribosomal RNA (492 nucleotides) under uncultured bacterium. RNAcentral describes it as "partial 16S ribosomal RNA". It matches the Rfam family "Bacterial small subunit ribosomal RNA", at positions 30 to 507 of the family's 1533-position model. The record is from RNAcentral.
AGUGAACGCUGGCGGCAGGCCUAACACAUGCAAGUCGAGCGGCAGAACGGUACUUGCUUGUUGGUACGGGUGGCGAGGGGUGGACGGGUGCGAGAAAUAUGGGUAGUUGCGGUUGAGAGGGGGAGGAAGUAGGGGCAAAUACGGUAUAAGCGCUGACGGACUACGGGUGAGAGCAGCGGACCUUCGGAUCUCGGGCGAUCCAAUGACGCGAGGUCGGAUUAGUUAGUUGGGGGGGUACAGGCGUACCAAGGCGACGAUCCGUAGCUGGUCUGAGAGGAUGAUCAGUCACACUGGAACUGAGACACGGUCCAGACUCCUACGGGAGGCAGCAGUGGGGAAUAUUGGACAAUGGGCGAAAGCCUGAUCCAGCCAUGCCGCGUGUGUGAAGAAGGUCUUCGGAUUGUAAAGCACUUUAAGUUGGGAGGAAGGGCAGUAAGUUAAUACCUUGCUGUUUUGACGUUACCCACAGAAUAAGCACCGGCUAACUUCGUG